Molecule: ribosomal RNA, 445 nt
Filed under: uncultured bacterium
Lineage: Bacteria
Description: partial 16S ribosomal RNA
Rfam family: Bacterial small subunit ribosomal RNA
Source: RNAcentral
GUGAGGAAUAUUGGUCAAUGGACGAGAGUCUGAACCAGCCAAGUCGCGUGAAGGAAGACGGUUCUAUGAAUUGUAAACUUCUUUUGUGCAGGAAUAAAGUGGGUUACGUGUAACCUUUUGUAUGUACUGUACGAAUAAGGAUCGGCUAACUCCGUGCCAGCAGCCGCGGUAAUACGGAGGAUCCGAGCGUUAUCCGGAUUUAUUGGGUUUAAAGGGUGCGUAGGUGGAUUGAUAAGUCAGCGGUGAAAGUUUGCAGCUUAACUGUAAAAUUGCCGUUGAAACUGUCGGUCUUGAGUGCAAAUGAGGUAGGCGGAAUGUGUUGUGUAGCGGUGAAAUGCUUAGAUACAACACAGAACUCCGAUUGCGAAGGCAGCUUACUGGGAUGCAACUGACACUGAUGCACGAAAGCGUGGGUAUCAAACAGGAUUAGAAACCCCAGUAGUCC